AACGAACGCUGGCGGCAUGCCUAACACAUGCAAGUCGAACGAGACCAUCGGGUCUAGUGGCGCACGGGUGCGUAAAGCGGGGGACGCUGCACUUAGGCUUGGAAUAACUCUCCGACAGGGGUGCUAAUACAGGAUAAUGUACUCGGACAAAAGAUAUAUCGCCUUUGGCAGGGCCCGCGAUGGUUUCGCUUGUUGGGAGGGUAUAAGCCGACCACGGCGACGAUCCAUAGCUGGUCUGAGAGGAUGGGCAGCCACACUGGGACUGGGACACGGCCCAGACUACUACACGAGGCAGCAGUGGGGAAUAUUGGACAAUGGGCUAGAUCCUGAACCAGCUCUGCUGGUAGAGUGAUGAAGUCCUUAGAGUUGUAAAGCUCGUUAACCCGGGAUGAUAAUGACGGUACCGGGAGAAUAAGCUCCGGCUAACUCCGUG
Molecule: ribosomal RNA, 433 nt
Filed under: uncultured bacterium
Lineage: Bacteria
Description: partial 16S ribosomal RNA
Rfam family: Bacterial small subunit ribosomal RNA
Source: RNAcentral